AUACGGAGGAUGCGAGCGUUAUCCGGGUUCAUUGGGUUUAAAGGGUGCGUAGGCGGAAUAAUAAGUCAGGGGUGAAAGUUUGCGGCUCAACCGUAAAAUUGCCUUUGAUACUGUUAUUCUUGAGUACACGCGAGGUAUGCGGAAUGUGAUGUGUAGCGGUGAAAUGCUUAGAUAUAUCACAGAACACCGAUUGCGAAGGCAGCAUACUAGAGUGUCACUGACGCUGAUGCGCGAAAGCGUGGGUAUCGAACAGGAUUAGAAACCCUAGUAGUCC
Molecule: ribosomal RNA, 274 nt
Filed under: uncultured bacterium
Lineage: Bacteria
Description: partial 16S ribosomal RNA
Rfam family: Bacterial small subunit ribosomal RNA
Source: RNAcentral